Molecule: ribosomal RNA, 431 nt
Filed under: uncultured bacterium
Lineage: Bacteria
Description: bacterial SSU rRNA
Rfam family: Bacterial small subunit ribosomal RNA
Source: RNAcentral
GGGCCCGCACAAGCGGUGGAGUAUGUGGUUUAAUUCGAUGCAACGCGAAGAACCUUACCAGGGUUUGACAUCCUGCGAAUUUCUGGGAAACCGGAAAGUGCCUUCGGGAGCGCAGUGACAGGUGGUGCAUGGCUGUCGUCAGCUCGUGUCGUGAGAUGUUGGGUUAAGUCCCGCAACGAGCGCAACCCACGUCUUUAGUUGCCAUCGGUUCGGCCGGGCACUCUAGAGAAACUGCCUGCGAUGAGCAGGAGGAAGGCGGGGAUGACGUCAAGUCCUCAUGGCCCUUAUGGACUGGGCUACACACGUGCUACAAUGGCGGUGACAAUGGGCAGCGACAGGGCGACCUGAAGCAAAUCCCUAAAAGCCGUCCCAGUUCGGAUUGUACUCUGCAACUCGAGUGCAUGAAGUUGGAAUCGCUAGUAAUCGCGGAU